CCCGCUGAACUUAAGCAUAUCAAUAAGCGGAGGAAAAGAAACUAACAAGGAUUCCCCUAGUAACUGCGAGUGAAGCGGGAAAAGCUCAAAUUUAAAAUCUGGCAGUUUCACUGUCCGAGUUGUAAUCUGGAGAAGCAUUUUCCGCGUCAGACCGUGUACAAGUCUCUUGGAACAGAGCGUCAUAGAGGGUGAGAAUCCCGUCCAUGACACGGACUACUGAUGCUUUGUGAUAUGCUCUCGAAGAGUCGAGUUGUUUGGGAAUGCAGCUCAAAAUCGGGUGGUAAAUUCCAUCUAAAGCUAAAUAUUGGCGAGAGACCGAUAGCGAACAAGUACCGUGAGGGAAAGAUGAAAAGCACUUUGGAAAGAGAGUUAAACAGUACGUGAAAUUGUUGAAAGGGAAACGCUUGAAGUCAGUCGCGUUGUCUGAGACUCAGCCUUGCUUGCAUGGUGUACUUCUCAGUUAACGGGUCAACAUCAAUUUCAGUUGGUGGAUAAAGGCAUUGGGAAUGUGGCACCUUCGGGUGUGUUAUAGCCCUUUGUUGCAUACACUGACCGGGAUUGAGGAACGCAGCACGCCACUAAGGCCAGGGGUUCGCCCCAUGUAACGUGCUUAGGAUGUUGGCAUAAUGGCUUUAAGCGACCCGUCUUGAAACACGG
RNAcentral lists this ribosomal RNA (657 nucleotides) under uncultured fungus. RNAcentral's name for it is "eukaryotic LSU rRNA". It matches the Rfam family "Eukaryotic large subunit ribosomal RNA", at positions 24 to 664 of the family's 3401-position model. The record is from RNAcentral. Lineage: Eukaryota; Fungi.